AACGAACGCUGGCGGCAUGCCUAACACAUGCAAGUCGAACGAUUGCCUUCGGGUGAUAGUGGCGCACGGGUGCGUAACGCGUGGGAAUCUGCCCUUAGGUUCGGAAUAACAGCUGGAAACAGCUGCUAAUACCGGAUGAUAUCGCGAGAUCAAAGAUUUAUCGCCUGAGGAUGAGCCCGCGUUGGAUUAGGUAGUUGGUGGGGUAAAGGCCUACCAAGCCGACGAUCCAUAGCUGGUCUGAGAGGAUGAUCAGCCACACUGGGACUGAGACACGGCCCAGACUCCUACGGGAGGCAGCAGUGGGGAAUAUUGGACAAUGGGCGCAAGCCUGAUCCAGCAAUGCCGCGUGAGUGAUGAAGGCCCUAGGGUUGUAAAGCUCUUUUACCCGGGAAGAUAAUGACUGUACCGGGAGAAUAAGCCCCGGCUAACUCCGUG
This 435-nucleotide ribosomal RNA is filed under the name uncultured bacterium. Its description in RNAcentral is "partial 16S ribosomal RNA". It matches the Rfam family "Bacterial small subunit ribosomal RNA", at positions 29 to 507 of the family's 1533-position model. The record is from RNAcentral.